UAUCAGGAAAAGUUACUUUGUCCUAUAAAGGAAUAUAAAUGAAAUUGCUAAAUGAAGGUGCAUGCUGACAGAGCUGAGGGGAAAAAAUCCGGGCAAACCUUUUCUCUGUAGAGUACUUAACUGGGUGAAAUAUUUUGAAAAUUAAACCAUUUUAUAGGAUCAUUACACCUUAUCAUCACAGCUUGAUAAUUCCUACAGGGACUCUGCACCAAAAAAGAUUUUUUCCAACCAAGAACUGAAAAUUCUACUCAAACUCCUAAAAACUUGGGAGAAGUAGGGUUAUAACCACAAUAUGAAUUCCACUUGCAUUAGUAACAGGAGGAAAAUCUGAAAACUUAAACUAAGCAUUCUUAGGCCUGGAAAAGUUGUAUUACUAAAACAUAAGCCAAAGCCAACACUACACACUUUCAUCAAAGGCUUAGACUAACACCUCUCCUGUGUGACAGGAGAAAAAAUUCAUGAGGUUGAGGCAGAGGUUUGGUUGGUUAUUAACAACUCAGUGCUCAACAGGGCAGAGUAAAACAAUGUACACAGAGGAAUUCUCCCCAGUUAGCUGCUAUUCUACUGCAUCACUCAAGUCUGCAGAGGAAACUAUGAAAGAAGAUGACUGGCACACGAAGAAAGACAUUGAACAGAGUGAGCACAGUGUGCCAAGAACAGAAAAA
Long non-coding RNA from Empidonax traillii (willow flycatcher), 665 nucleotides. RefSeq lists it as uncharacterized. The record is from RefSeq and is a predicted model, not a curated record. The transcript has 2 exons. Lineage: Eukaryota; Metazoa; Chordata; Aves; Passeriformes; Tyrannidae.